AUACGGAGGAUCCGAGCGUUAUCCGGAUUUAUUGGGUUUAAAGGGUGCGCAGGCGGCCAUUUAAGUCAGCGGUUAAAUCGUGGGGCUCAACCCCAUUCUGCCGUUGAUACUGGGUGGCUUGAUUGCGGUCGAGGUUGGCGGAAUUCGUUGUGUAGCGGUGAAAUGCAUAGAUAUGACGAAGAACACCGAUUGCGUAGGCAGCUGACCAGACCGAAAAUGACGCUCAUGCACGAAAGUGCGGGGAUCGAACAGGAUUAGAUACCCUGGUAGUCCGCACAGUAAACGAUGAAUACUUGUUUUCGGCGAUAUAAUGUCGGAGGCAAAGCGAAAGCGAUAAGUAUUCCACCUGGGGAGUACGCCGGCAACGGUGAAACUCAAAGGAAUUGACGGGG
Molecule: ribosomal RNA, 392 nt
Filed under: uncultured bacterium
Lineage: Bacteria
Description: partial 16S ribosomal RNA
Rfam family: Bacterial small subunit ribosomal RNA
Source: RNAcentral